Molecule: long non-coding RNA, 647 nt
Organism: Pipra filicauda (Wire-tailed manakin)
Lineage: Eukaryota; Metazoa; Chordata; Aves; Passeriformes; Pipridae
Exons: 2
Source: RefSeq, a predicted model, not a curated record
GAUUGUUGUUCACAUUCCUGGUCAGUCCUGAAGCACCGCAGUUCCUGUACAUUACUGAGGUGAUUGAACUCACUUUGGCACUACAGAGCAGGGGCACAGGUUUGGAAUGGACAAGGCAGUGGGACCUGCAACUGGGAAAAAGGGUUUCAGAUUUUUCUGCCUACUUUUUAAGUUUGUCCUUCAGCGUAUCAUAGCCAGAGGUGAUGCUGUAGGGUAGGUAUGAUUAUUGCAUUGGUACUGAGAAUCAGGGGCAAUAGCUAAGUUAAAAAGCAACUGCAACACAUAACCUGCCCAGGGCGUUACCUGCAGCUGAAGGAAGUACAGUGAACUAGUCUUUUCCUUUGUUAGGAUGCGCUUGGAUUUGGCCAUGGGGACUGCUGCUUGUCCUAAGGGGUUAGGAGUCCAUCCUCUUCUUGGAUGGAGGAGCAUCUUACUUGCUACUUAACUUCUAUCUGAAAUCAAGAGGAUCCAAAUGACUGCCACUACAGAAAGGAGGUUUAAAGAGAAUAAGCAGCAGGUGUGGGACCCAAAACUCACAAGCUUAGUAGUGAUUUUACUUGCUCUGCAGACACCAAACCUUUUUUCUUAACUUGAGAGUGAAAAAACGUACUUUAGCUGCAAUAUCUAUUUCUUUUUCCUAGAACUGA